GACGAACGCUGGCAGCGUGCUUAACACAUGCAAGUCGAACGAAGAGCGAUGGAAGCUUGCUUCUAUCAAUCUUAGUGGCGAACGGGUGAGUAACGCGUAAUCAACCUGCCCUUCAGAGGGGGACAACAGUUGGAAACGACUGCUAAUACCGCAUACGAUCCAAUCUCGGCAUCGGGACUGGAUGAAAGGUGGCCUCUAUUUAUAAGCUAUCACUGAAGGAGGGGAUUGCGUCUGAUUAGCUAGUUGGAGGGGUAACGGCCCACCAAGGCGAUGAUCAGUAGCCGGUCUGAGAGGAUGAACGGCCACAUUGGGACUGAGACACGGCCCAGACUCCUACGGGAGGCAGCAGUGGGGAAUCUUCCGCAAUGGACGAAAGUCUGACGGAGCAACGCCGCGUGAGUGAUGACGGCCUUCGGGUUGUAAAGCUCUGUUAAUCGGGACGAAUGGUUCUUGUGCGAAUAGUGCGAGGAUUUGACGGUACCGGAAUAGAAAGCCACGGCUAACUACG
RNAcentral lists this ribosomal RNA (508 nucleotides) under uncultured bacterium. RNAcentral's name for it is "partial 16S ribosomal RNA". It matches the Rfam family "Bacterial small subunit ribosomal RNA", at positions 28 to 505 of the family's 1533-position model. The record is from RNAcentral.